UUGUUUUUUCUUAUUCAGAAGAUUACUGAGUUUUGCCAUUUUUUUCUUUUCUUUUGCUGAACCUUGAUAGCCACCGUCAAUCCUUGGAGAGCAAGGACAGUUUUGCCAAUGAGGAAAGACUGUGACCAAAAAUGACAGUUUGACUACUAGCAGCCACCAUUGUUAAGCGCCCACAAUCCUCUGCAACCAUAAGGAAAGUUUGACUAUGAGAAAGACUCGUACAAAAAGGACGGCUUGACUAAUGACUACUAUAGUAGCCACCAUGCUUUCAUGGAUUGAAAGAAACAUUCUACCAAAUCCUUGACAUGACGUGUCCUGGAACUUUGUGCAAACUUCCCAUGGGUCAGCCUCAUGCAAAUAAUAAAUCCUUCAUUUUAGCAAUGCAAAUCUGUACCAAGUCAGUCUCAAGUUUUGGAUAAGUAGUACCUACAGGUCGUGUGACCACACAGCAAAAUUAAAGAACUUCCAAUGUGCAAACCACAGCGCACGACCAAUGGAGGAGUAGAAAAGUACAGACAUGGUGGCGAACCAAAACAUUACCUUGUUCAUCCUGUCCGUAGGCCUUAGUAUUGCUGGAUUCACUGCUGGGGACGACGACCAAUUCGUCUACACCGGCUUCGCUAGCAGCAACCUAACCCUCGAUGGUGGAGCGACAGUCACGCCGAGCGGCCUCCUUGAGCUAACCAAUGGCACCGUUCGGCAGAAAGGCCAUGGAUUCCACCCCAGUUCGGUGCUCUUCUACGAGUCCUCUAGUGGUGCAGUGCAGUCUUUCUCUGUAUCCUUUGUGUUCGCCAUUCUCUCUACCUAUCCUGAGACUGAGAGUGGUCAUGGCCUAGCUUUCUUCAUUGCGCCAGACAAGAAUUUAUCGGGUUCAUUCCCAACCCAGUACUUGGGCCUCUUCAGUGACCAGACCAAUGGUGACCCAAACAGCCACAUCUUUGCAGUUGAGCUCGACACCGUCCAAAAUUAUGACCUACAGGACAUCAACAGUUACCAUGUUGGCAUCAACGUCAAUAGUCUACGCUCCAUCCGAUCCCAUGAUGCAGGCUACUAUGAUGAUAAAAGUGGUUUGUUCAAAGAUCUGUCACUCGAUAGCCAUGAGGCGAUGCAAGUGUGGGUGAACUACAACAGAGAAACCACACAGAUCAAUGUCACCAUAGCUCCCCUCAAUGUCGCCAAACCAGUGAGGCCAUUGCUGUCUGCUAACUACAAUCUCUCAGCAGUCAUCACUAAUCCGGCGUAUAUUGGUUUCUCAUCCUCAACAGGCUCUGUUAGUGGGCAACACUAUCUGCUUGGUUGGAGCUUUGGCAUCAACAGUCCUGCUCCACCAAUCGACAUUACCAAGCUGCCAGAGAUGCCUCGUCUUGGUCAGAAGGCUCGGUCGAAAGCAUUACAGAUAACUCUGCCAAUAACAAUUCUGGCUCUGUUCCUUGCUGCAAGCAUUACUAUUUUUUUAUUCGUGCGGAGGAAGCUAAGAUAUGCUGAACUACGUGAAGAUUGGGAGGUUGAGUAUGGGCCUCACAGGUUCUCAUACAAGGAUUUAUUCGAUGCCACAAGAGGAUUUAGAGAAGCUAACCUGUUAGGUACAGGAGGGUUUGGAAUGGUGUACAAGGGGAUUCUCCGUGGAUCCAGACUGAAUAUUGCUGUGAAGAGGGUGUCACACGACUCAAAACAGGGCAUAAAGGAGUUUAUAACAGAGAUUGUUAGCAUCGGCCAUCUUCAACAUCGUAACCUGGUGCCCUUAUUGGGGUACUCCCGGCGGAAAGGCGAGCUUCUCUUAGUGUAUGAUUACAUGCCCAAUGGAAGCCUCGACAAAUACUUGUAUGGUAAAGAGGGCAAGCCUACUUUAGAUUGGAAUCAAAGGUUCCAAAUAAUCAAAGGAGUAGCAUCUGGUUUACUCUACCUUCAUGAGGAGUGUGAGAAAGUCAUCAUACAUUGUGACAUCAAGGCAAGCAAUGUGCUCAUCGAUAAUGAGAUCCAUGGGAGGAUUGGUGAUUUUGGUCUCGCGAAAUUGUAUGACCAUGGCACUGACCCAGAAGCCACACAUGUGGUUGGCACCAUAGGAUACCUGGCUCCGGAGGUAGCACGCACUGGCAGGGCAACCCCUCUGACGGAUGUUUUUGCCUUCGGUAUAUUCAUUCUUGAGGUCACAUGUGGGCAGAGGCCUAUCAAGCAAAGUACCCAAGACAGGCAGGUAAUGUUAGUUGACUGGGUGCUGGAACAUUGGCAUAAGGGAUCACUUACUGAUACAGUGGACAUCAAAAUUCAAGGUGAAUAUGAUAUUGAUGAGGCAUGUCUAGCACUGAAGCUAGGAUUGUUAUGCUCCCACCCAUUCACUAGUGCAAGGCCAAAUAUGAGGCAAGUCAUGCAGUACCUCAACAAAGAAAUGCCAAUACCAGAGUUAACACCAAACUUAAGCUUUUCCAUGCUAGCCUUGAUGCAGAAUGAUGAGCUGAUAAUGCACUGUCCAUCAGAAAUAGGCUUCGGCACAAUAUCUACCAUCUCAGGAGUCAGGAGGUAGAUGACUAGAUGCUAUGGGGCUUGACAGUGGCAGGCACAGGUCUUCAAUGUUUGCAUGCACAGUUGCACACAUAGUCAAUGUUCCAUAAAGAUGAAGACAUGAAGUAAACUCUAUAAAAUAGAGUCGCUUAAUAUUUUUUUAUGCUCUUCCUUUGUCUGUUUUAGACUAAAUUACCCCAUUGUUUGUGUGCUCGUUAAAUUCAUCUUUGUCAUUCUCGAAUUAUAUUCAAUCUCAUUUUCAUUCAUAAACAUACAAUUUUCUUGUCAUUAAAAUAAAAUCCAUAUAACUGGACAAGAUUUCUCCAAGACAACGAGAAAAUACAUCACAAUCGCAGACAUAGUCAAUGAAACCAAGGAAAGUGACUGCAUUGAUGGUAAUGACUAAAUCAGAGCAUUUUUUGAGAUAUUUUAAAGAAAUGGGACAUGUACACGGACAGAAAGGGAUUUUAAUGGUCCAGAGCUUGACUUGAGAAACACACUAGAUCAUAACAUAAUAUGUGUUGUUUACUCAUAUUUGAGAAUAAGAGCUCCACUUAGUGUUAUGAACCACAACCACAUACCAUGCGAGGUGUGCAAUUGAGAUAUACCAGUGCUAAUAAGGCAUCUGGUUGAUAAGUGAUCCAUACGUAGUCAAAGGAAGAACUGAAUCAUAUCAUACAUCAAAAAGUAUGAAUCAGUUGUAUUUCAUAUAAUAAUAAAUCUAUUUCGACCUUAUUAACCGGCCAAUAUCUAGAUAAACUAAACACAGGGAGCAAACAUGGUCAGCGAGAUUAAUGAAAAUUGAAAGCAGUGAUUGUACAGAAAUCCUACCACAGCACGCAUUUCUUGAUAUAUUCCUAACAACUGGGACAUAGAGACAAUGGGCAAGGAAAUUUCAUUCUCAACAAAUUGUCCCAAGAGACACGAAUACUUGACACUAGACAUGUUGAUCAACCUAAUGAACAAGCACAUGGCCACUAUGUUAAGCUAUGAAAAUAACCAUGAAAGCAGCAUUGGAUUUUUAGUAGCUGAAAUUACUUUUGACCAAUAAACUUUUUCACUGAAAGUCAAGUCCUAAUGUAUUAGUUAAACUAAAAUAAGUCAUAACUAGCCAUCCAAUUAAAAAAAGACUACCUGCUCUCCACUGAGCAGGCCUGAUGCACUGGUGAGAAGCCUUUUUAUUGAGCCAAAGAUCCUAGGUUCGAUGCAGUCUCUCUGUAAAAAAUGCAUGUUAAGGCUUGUCUCGGUUAUUCCUUCCCCAUACCUCACUUAUAGAAGCCUCUAGCACUGGGUCUGUCCUUUUUACCUACCCUGGAGGUAGCAAGAACCAAAAGAGCCAACUGUAGUACAUUAAGAGAAAGAAGUCCUCACAAUGUGAAACCUUCAAAGAAAAUGUAUGGAAAAAAUCAACAGGUCAAAGUAUCUAGCAAAUGUUUGAACCUGAACAAAUAGCUAACUUCACUGAUUCAACAUCCACUGACAGUGACUCAAUUAUUGAAUGACAUAUGUCUUCGAAGAAAAGUAAACAUUAAACACCUUACCGGUUCAAUUCCACUAUAUAUUAACAACAAACUGAGACUAGAUGUAGAGGACAACUGCAAGCCCCAGGUAGCUCAGAAAAUACUUUGCUCUUGCAUCCUUCUUGAGCUACCACAAGUUACAUCCAUGCCUGAAAAGAAACAUAAGUGGCUCAUUCUAUACCAUCUUCUCUACCUUUCCAUCCUCAACUUUACAUCCUUCAUCAUUGCUGGUGAUCAAUUCGUCUACUCCAGCUUCAGAGAAGCAAAUCUCAGCCUAGACGGCACUGCCACAAUCAAACCAGAUGGGCUCCUUGAGCUAACCAACGGUAGCUUUAAUCUCAAAGGCCAUGCAUUCUACCCAACUCCUCUGCAUUUCCGCAAGUCAUCAGGUGAAAAUGUGAAAUCCUUCUCAGUCACCUUCAUCUUCAGCAUCCUCUCUGCCUACCCUGACAAGAGUGCAGAUGGCAUGACCUUCUUAGUCACAACAAACAAGAAUUUCUCUGAUGCAUUUCCAGCCCAGUACCUAGGACUCCUCAAUGAUCAGAACAACGGCAAUCCAAACAACCAUAUCUUUGCGGUUGAGCUUGACACCAUACAAAACAGUGAGUUCGAGGAUAUCAACGACAACCACAUUGGCAUUAAUAUUAAUGGUCUCCACUCGGUACAAUCCCAGGGUGCUGGUUUCUACGAUGACAAAAACGGUAUGUUCAAGAACAUGUCACUCAUUAGUCGUGAGGUGAUGCAGGUGUGGGUGGAAUAUGAUGGAUGGACCACACAGAUCGAUGUAACCUUGGGUCCCAUUAAAAUGGCUAAACCUAAUAGGCCACUAGUCUCAGCCAUCUACAAUCUAUCAACAGUUCUCACAGAUACAUCAUACAUUGGAUUCUCAUCUUCAACUGGUGUAAUUAACUCAAGAUAUUGCUUGCUUGGUUGGAGCUUCAGUAUGAGCAACACAACUCCAGAGAUUGACAUCACCAAGCUGCCAAAGUUACCUCGUGUUGGCUCCAGGUCACCAUCAAAGGUCCUGACAAUCAUUCUUCCAACAGCCAUUGCAUCAUUCAUCUUUGUUACUGGAAUCACCAUCAUUUUACUGGCACGGAGGAAAUUGGCAAACAAUGAGCUACAGGAAGAUUGGGAGGUUGAGUUUGGACCACAUCGGUUCACAUACAAAGAUCUGUUCCUUGCCACUGAAGGAUUUAAGAAUAAGAAUGUGCUGGGUGCAGGAGGAUUUGGGAAGGUGUAUAAAGGUAUACUUCCAACAUCUAAAUUAGAAAUUGCAGUGAAGAGGUUGUCACAUAACUCAAAGCAAGGAACAAAAGAGUUCAUCACUGAGAUUGUUAGCAUUGGCCACCUUCGACACCGAAAUCUCGUGCAGUUACUAGGCUAUUGCAGGCGAAAAGGUGAACUUCUAUUGGUAUAUGACUACAUGCCAAAUGGUAGUCUUGACAAGUUUCUAUACUGUGAAAAUGACAAACCUUCACUGGAUUGGGCUACAAGAUUUCACAUCAUAAAAGGAGCUGCAUGUGGCCUGCUCUACCUUCAUGAGAAGUGGGACAAAGUUGUAAUCCACCGAGACAUCAAAGCAAGCAAUGUGCUUCUUGAUAGCAAAUUCAAUGGACGGCUAGGAGACUUUGGCCUUGCAAAGUCAUAUAACCAUGGCACAGACCCACAGACCACACGUGUGGUUGGCACCAUGGGUUACCUGGCCCCAGAAUUGGUACGCAUGGGUAAAGCAUCCCCACUUACAGAUGUGUUUGCCUUUGGCACAUUCCUUCUUGAAGUGACAUGUGGGCAUAGGCCUGUAAAGCAAAAUGAGCUAGGUGAGCAUAUUAUGUUGGUUGAUUGGGUACUUGACCAUUGGCAGAAAGGAUCAUUGGUGGAGACAAUAGACAAGAGGCUAGAAGGUAACUGCAACAUAGAUGAGGCGUGCCUGGUUUUAAAACUUGGGCUCUUGUGCUCACAACCAUUCGCUAGUGCAAGGCCUAGUAUGCAUCUUGUAAUUCAAUACCUUAAUGGUGGCAUGCAGUUGCCAGAGUUCACACCAUCAGAUAUAAGCAUCAACAUGCUAGCCUUUAUGGAAAAUAGGGGAUUCAAUCCUUCCUUGAUUUCAUACCCACAGCUGACAAUGAGUGUUGGCACAAUGUCAAGCCUCUCAGGUGGAAGGUAAAAAUGAUUUGAGGUCAUUAAUCAGAGCAAUAGCAGGUUUCUUUUGUAUAUUACACGGGGUGAUAUCUAUUAUUGCAUAUUUCAGAAUUAAAAUUUUUAGGGUGUAUUUGAUUUGAGCAACCACCUCAUGCUACAUGACCUGUUGCAUCAUGAAUUCAUUACAGGGGUGUUUGGUUUGAAGAAUGAGUUAGUCUAUCAUCUAUUCAUUUCUCACUUUUUUGUUUGGUUUAUGGUACAGUGUUUUCAAGUCGUCUGACUAUUUGUGAUUAGUCAGUCUAAUCGGUACUCGGUAGGUAUCAACCGACCAGCCCCACCGAUGCGACUAGGCCGACCAAAAUAUUAGUAUUAGACAUGGGAUGACCAGUUUAGAGUUUAAACAUGACUGUAGAUGGGCUUUUGAAGCAGGGGAACUUGUAGGCUGCAAUUUGCUUUGUGGGCAUCUAGGGUUGAGAACGCUCAGGCAAGAACUCCAGUCCCAAUCUGCACAGGCGCACAGCCGCCCUCCAGCCUAUAGUCAGCACAGCAGCCCUCCAGUCGGUAGCUAUACGAUUAGGUUCAACUAGACGACUUGAAAACAUUGUUAUAAUGUUAUGUAUAAUAUGAUGAUGCACCAUCACCUCAAGUCAAUAAUUAAUACUAGUACAAGGAAUGAAGUCAUUCCAUCAUAAUUGAGGAAUUAACUCAUGAUGCACCUCAUAUAGGACCAUGCAUAUAUUAGUUAUUAGCUUCGAAGGAAUAAGGUGGUGAUGGAUCAACUCAUUCCAUCUUACAAACCAAACAAAAAAGUGAGGCGUGAGAAAAUGACAUACCACAGCAUUCCUUAAUCAAACACACCACAUGCUGCACUUGCAUAGCAGCGUGUGAUUAUGUAUCUAGAUGCUAUAUUCACUUAUUCAGUAUUCAAAUGGUCGAACCAAAGUACGCACACGGGGAACUGCUACCAUUAUCUUGUAAUAAAAUUAUGAUCAAACUAUAUCUUUUUAUUUGGUCAAUUUCCUUUACAAUACUGACUUAGACGCCCUAGUGCCUAAACCACACACGCAUCCAUAAGGUUCAGCAAUCACACGCAGAACCUCAACCAACUUGGGUACGGUUGUCUGAAAUCAGAAAGAUUGCAUCUUGAAAGAAACGGAAGCGUACCAAUUGUGGUUGAGCAGAGGACAUCAGGUAAGCAUCAUCGCUUCCUGGCUACCAACGAAAGCGUGCCCAUUGGCCAUCACGUGCACCACCGGCAGGACUACUGGUAGGCCGACGGCCGCCGCGCAAACUGCACCCUUGUUUAGAGACGCCGAGCCGCCGAGGGUGAGCCGCCGCAGGAGCAGAGAACGCGGCGGGCGGAAUGGGCGGAUCAGGGGCGGAGCCAGGAUUAC
This 7555-nucleotide long non-coding RNA is filed under the name Zea mays. RNAcentral describes it as "long non-coding RNA (ZMAY_LNC005322)". The record is from RNAcentral. Lineage: Eukaryota; Viridiplantae; Streptophyta; Magnoliopsida; Poales; Poaceae.